CUGAAAAAAUACUAGCUAUGACGGAGCCCAGAUAAAU
RNAcentral lists this small RNA (37 nucleotides) under Bombyx mori (domestic silkworm). RNAcentral's name for it is "ovarian small RNA-14711". Lineage: Eukaryota; Metazoa; Arthropoda; Insecta; Lepidoptera; Bombycidae. The record is from RNAcentral.